UUAAGAGAGAGGAAUCUCACCCCCC
RNAcentral lists this non-coding RNA (25 nucleotides) under Rattus norvegicus (Norway rat). Lineage: Eukaryota; Metazoa; Chordata; Mammalia; Rodentia; Muridae. The record is from RNAcentral.